Molecule: ribosomal RNA, 440 nt
Filed under: uncultured bacterium
Lineage: Bacteria
Description: partial 16S ribosomal RNA
Rfam family: Bacterial small subunit ribosomal RNA
Source: RNAcentral
CCUACGGGUGGCAGCAGUGGGGAAUAUUGCACAAUGGGGGAAACCCUGAUGCAGCGACGCCGCGUGAGUGAAGAAGUACUUCGUUAUGUAAAGCUCUAUCAGCAGGGAAGAAAAUGACGGUACCUGAGUCAGAAGCCCCGGCUAACUACGUGCCAGCAGCCGCGGGAAUACGUAGGGGGCAAGCGUUAUCCGGGUUUACUGGGGGUAAAGGGGGCGUAGACGGGAGUGCAAGUCUGGAGGGAAAGGCGGGGGCUCAACCCCCGGACUGCCCUGGAAACUGUACGGCUGGAGUGCAGGAGAGGUAAGUGGAAUGCCUGGUGUAGCGGUGAAAUGCGUAGAGAUCAGGAGGAACACCAGUGGCGAAGGCGGCUUACUGGACUGUAACUGACGUUGAGGCUCGAAAGCGUGGGGAGCAAACAGGAUUAGAUACCCGUGUAGUC